RNAcentral lists this ribosomal RNA (253 nucleotides) under uncultured bacterium. RNAcentral describes it as "partial 16S ribosomal RNA". It matches the Rfam family "Bacterial small subunit ribosomal RNA", at positions 524 to 776 of the family's 1533-position model. The record is from RNAcentral.
UACGGGGGGGGCAAGCGUUGUUCGGAAUUACUGGGCGUAAAGGGCUCGUAGGUGGCCAACUAAGUCAUACGUGAAAUCCCUCAGCUUAACUGGGGAACUGCGUCUGAUACUGGUUGGCUUGAGUUUGGGAGAGGGACGCGGAAUUCCAGGUGUAGCGGUGAAAUGCGUAGAUAUCUGGAGGAACACCGGUGGCGAAGGCGGCGUCCUGGACCAAUACUGACACUGAGGAGCGAAAGCCAGGGGAGCAAACGGG